RNAcentral lists this ribosomal RNA (173 nucleotides) under uncultured bacterium. Its description in RNAcentral is "partial 16S ribosomal RNA". It matches the Rfam family "Bacterial small subunit ribosomal RNA", at positions 336 to 525 of the family's 1533-position model. The record is from RNAcentral.
CUCCUACGGGAGGCAGCAGUCGGGAAUAUUGCGCAAUGGAGGAAACUCUGACGCAGUGACGCCGCGUGCAGGAAGAAGGUUUUCGGAUUGUAAACUGCUUUAAACAGGGAAGAAAAAAGACAGUACCUGUAGAAUAAGCUCCGGCUAACUCCGUGCCAGCAGCCGCGGUAAUA